This is a long non-coding RNA of Juglans microcarpa x Juglans regia, 159 nucleotides long. RefSeq lists it as uncharacterized. NCBI's taxonomy places the organism in Eukaryota, Viridiplantae, Streptophyta, Magnoliopsida, Fagales, Juglandaceae. The transcript has 4 exons. The record is from RefSeq and is a predicted model, not a curated record.
CCUCAACCACUUGUGCUUCAACGAGGGACCCACUUGAUGCGAAAACACCAUGGAUUUUUCUACAUUUUUAUUCCUCUUUUUUCUUCCAUUUGCUAAUUUCUUCUCUAAUUUUUGGGUAUGAGCUGUUGUCCGCUUUUUGACCUUAUCACACACAAGUUG